Vulpes vulpes (red fox) is the source of this 107-nucleotide small nuclear RNA. NCBI's taxonomy places the organism in Eukaryota, Metazoa, Chordata, Mammalia, Carnivora, Canidae. The record is from Ensembl.
GUGUUCGUUUUGUCAGCACUUAUACUAAAACUGGGAUGAUCCAGAGAAGAUUAGUGUGGCCCUUGAGCAAGGAUGACAUGCAGGUUUGUGAAAUGUUCCAUAUUAAA